This is a long non-coding RNA of Macrobrachium nipponense, 952 nucleotides long. RefSeq lists it as uncharacterized. The transcript has 3 exons. The record is from RefSeq and is a predicted model, not a curated record. Lineage: Eukaryota; Metazoa; Arthropoda; Malacostraca; Decapoda; Palaemonidae.
UGAUAAUGGUAGUUACAUUUGACAACGUCUUCGAGGGUUGUGUGAGAGAGAGAUAAAGUGAUAGCGUCUUUGGGUUGAGAGUUUAAAUGUUUUUGUAUGGUUGAUAUGUUAUGUUUGGUGUUGCUGUAUAUGUAAGUGCGUAUGUGUUUUUCCGAAGAGUGUGAGUGAGUGAGUGCUCGAGAGAGAGAGAGAUCGUAAUUGGUGGGUGGAUAAUAAGGAGUAGUUUGAUGGCGGAUGUAAGCGUAUGAGUUGUCUGUUGGAGCAGUCGCCGAGAAUGUCAAUGGCGAGAGACUGUUACGGAGACGGUGAGUCGUGAGGAGUCAGUGAUAGUCAGAGCGGUUUUUUGGAAGAUAGUAUUGAUGGUGUAACCUUCAAAAAUGCAAAUCCUUGCUGGAGGCAGACAACUGGCAAAGGAGGAAAAAAAAAGAAAUUGCCUGGCCCACAGUAGCUGUACGUGCCACCAUGACACUUGGGAAGAUGACCCUAUAGAAAACGGAGUGGGCACCGACUACACCACCACCUACAAGGAUGCCCAGACAUAAUGCUCCAAAGCUACAUAAUGGCCCCACACACUGUCAGAUCGAGGUCACAAAUGCUCACAACUCGGAGGCAGCCAGAACACUGGCCGUCCUUCUCUUUUGACUGUCCCUUUUACUCCUUCCAUGUGCUCGUCCUCCUCCCUCCAUUGCAGACGCCCUAUCUAACAAGGAUAUCAUCAUCCAGACAAAGAUCAUCCUUGGCUGUGGAACCAAAUCUUCAGCUCUAUCCCAUGUGCAGUGACCUUAUGCUGCCCCUGAUUCUACGCCUCUGUGACGUCCCUUUUGUGAAGACAUCAUUGGCAUAGAAUAUUUAGUUUGUGUGUGAUCCAUUCAUUUAGCAGGACCUUGUUAUUACCUGCCUUGUAAUUCCUCAAUCUUCUGAUGUGUGUGUGCGUUAUGUAAAUAUAAUUAAA